This 467-nucleotide ribosomal RNA is filed under the name uncultured bacterium. Its description in RNAcentral is "partial 16S ribosomal RNA". It matches the Rfam family "Bacterial small subunit ribosomal RNA", at positions 28 to 507 of the family's 1533-position model. The record is from RNAcentral.
GACGAACGCUGGCGGCGUGCUUAACACAUGCAAGUCGAACGGAAAGGCCCUGCUUUUGUGGGGUGCUCGAGUGGCGAACGGGUGAGUAACACGUGAGUAACCUGCCCUUGACUUUGGGAUAACUUCAGGAAACUGGGGCUAAUACCGGAUAGGAGCUCCUGCUGCAUGGUGGGGGUUGGAAAGUUUCGGCGGUUGGGGAUGGACUCGCGGCUUAUCAGCUUGUUGGUGGGGUAGUGGCUUACCAAGGCUUUGACGGGUAGCCGGCCUGAGAGGGUGACCGGCACAUUGGGGCCGGGGAACGGCCCAGAACCCUAAGGGGGGGAGGAGGGGGGAAUAUUGGACAAUGGGCGGAAGCCUGAUGCAGCAACGGCGGGGGGGGGAAGACGGCCUUUCGGGUUGAAACCGCUUUCGGCUGUGACGAAGGGGGGGGGACGGGAAUGGGGAAAGGAGCAACGGGUAACUAAGGG